RNAcentral lists this ribosomal RNA (4008 nucleotides) under Triticum aestivum (bread wheat). Its description in RNAcentral is "partial small subunit ribosomal RNA". Lineage: Eukaryota; Viridiplantae; Streptophyta; Magnoliopsida; Poales; Poaceae. The record is from RNAcentral.
GUUGACGCUUCUCAUGGAUAAACUUCAGGUCUCGGAAUAAGGUCUGCUGGGCUGUGAUCUCCCUCAAGAUAGUGACAUAGUGACACGGAACGCCUGCUUCAAUAUUGGCCACCACUUCACUGCAAUCCGAAGCAACGCAAACUGAAUCCACAUGCAAGUCCAUUUGUUGUUGUCCAGGCCCAGUCAUCUUCUGAGCCCAUCGCACGUGACGGCCCAGCCUUAUCUUCUCUUGGACCGGCCGUCGUCCUCUACGAGUCCGUCGCCGCUCGGAGUGCCGUGCAGAGGCUGCCGAGGAAGCGACAGCCGAUGAAGGACCCGCGACGGUGGCGGCGGCGGAGCUAUCCCUUCCCUCUCGCGCCUCCUUUCGGCUUAAGUUUGAAACGUAGGCAUCAUGGGGCUGCUGCCGCUCGACGCCUCGACCGCCUCAUGUCCAAUCUCGUGGUAUGGUCCUCUCUCCCUCCGAGCUCCGAUCCCCUUCUCGUCCUCGCCGCUGGGAGACAGAAAGCCUGAGGUACUGAAAUCAUAACUGUCAAACAGAGCGGCAUUCAGUGCCAAAACUUGCAGAGCUACGCCAUAAGAUUUUGUUGCUAAAUGGUGGUUCGUCAAAUAACUUUUGCAUCGAUACGCUGUGCAGACCCCGGGAAAGAUGUUCCAUCGUGUAUUUCAUCAGAGUGUUGCCAGAUCUGGUACUCGUAAAACAUCUUCUCCCUCACCACGUUUCUACUCGUGGUCCUGAACUAACGUUUGAUUUUUAGUCGUAGCCAUUCAAUGUUUGAUUUUUAGUUCCAGCCCAUUCAACGAUGAGGUUGCUUUCACGUUGGAUAUGUGGCUCUGAAAGUAUCCCCACAAAGAAAAGAUGUGGCCCAGGCUUUGGCCACCCGCGAUGUAAAUAUUUUUGCCAAAGAAAAAAGACCACAUCCCAGCACAUCUAUCGUCUGAGCUCAAUCCCCAUCUCGGGCAACCUCCCCUACUGAAUCACCGCCUCCAGCUAUAUAUCUAUGCUCCAGACCGGUCUGAAUCGGCAUCCACGGUGGUCGAUUGACGCCGGCGAAGGCUGCACGGGUGGUCCAGAGGGAUACAUAAGGGAAGUAGCCGACUCUUGUGCUCCAAGAGGAAGCAGGAGACGGCGCAGCGACACCACGGUUCCUCUCCUCGAGAUUUCUUCGUCGUCUCAAGUCCAUGGCCUCCCUGCAUUGAAGAAGCCAAGAACCUGAUGCUGCUGCAUGCAUGCCUAACUUAUCAAGAGUAAUGCUCUUCAUAUCAUGGCAACUAAAUACUGGACUACUAGUAUCACCAGGCAACAACUCUGCUAUCUUCUCUUCAGUUGUUCUCAACGAGUAUAAGUAUCAACCCUCCACAUCCGGAACAGGGCCCUUCUUCGAGCAUAUAUAAGCACAACAAAUGAUCAUGCAGAAUUUGAACAUGCUGAGUUCCAUCGUUUUCCUACUUGUCUUCCCUAUCCUGCCCAUGGUUGUCGCCUACCCCUCCACUGCAGCUCCCUCAAAUCUCUGGAAAAUAUCUAGUAUGCAAACCAGAGUAGCCAUGUCAGGAAAUCCCAGUGCCCUUGUCAUUCUUGAGAGUGUCAGCACCUCAUACCGACUUCUUUUUGGCUUCUACACCAUGGACGGCAAUGCAUUCACUCUCUCUGUCUUGCUCAUGGGAGCCCAGCCUCCGGCCAUCUGGUCUGCUAACCCUGGUGAUCCCGUAAGCCAGGAUGCCAUGUUGAACUUCACCAGCGAUGGGAAUAUGCUGCUCAGCGACGGGGAUGGCACCGUUAUCUGGUCAACAGCCACAAAGAGCAGGUCAGUUGCAGGCUUGCGGCUAGAUGUUUCAGGAAACCUUGUGUUGUUUGAUCAGAAAAAUUCCUCUGUUUGGCAGUCGUUUCACCACCCAACAGAUACAUUGGUCCUGGGACAAUCGCUCUGCAGGGGCAUGAACAUAAGUGUAAAACCCUCCAAAACAAAAUGGCCAUCUGCUCGGAUUUAUCUUUCUGCAGAGUUUGGUGGACUGCAGUAUUCAUCUCAACCAGCAAACUAUUCACAAUCGUUCACUGAAGUUGCUAGCACCAAAUCAGACUGUUAUGCAUUUGUCAAUGGCAGCUUUGGGUUCCCAAAUCAGGUUUUCUGGCUGCCGCAAGCAAGAUCAUUGCAAUACAUGCGGUUAGAGUCCGAUGGACAUUUGAGGCUUUACGAGAUGCAGGGCUACUCUAGCCCGCGGCUUCGGUUUGAUGUAUUAAGCCUAGCCAUGAAAUUUUGUGACUACCCAUUCGCAUGCGGUGAUUAUGGUGUUUGCAGUGAUGGGCAGUGCUCUUGCCCUAGUUUGAGCUACUUUAGGUCAAACAAUGAACGUCAUCCAGAUGCUGGUUGCACACUCUUAACCACCAUCUCCUGCAACCGUGCGCACUACCAUCAGUUGCUACCACUCGGCAACGUUUCUUACUUCAGUGACAACAUGUUCCGGAAAUUGGCCAUUUCAAGUUCCUCAGAAGAGGUCUGCAAGCAAGCUUGCUUAAUAGAUUGUGCUUGCAGAGUUGCCAUUUUCCAGUAUUACGGAUCGAAUCAUUACAGUAAUGGUGGUAACUGCUUGUUGUUAUCAGAGGAAAAACUAAUUUCGCUGGCAGAAGGUUCGUCCGAUGGACUUUCAGCAUACAUCAAGAUACAAGGCACACGAUCAAUCAAAAAAAGGAUCACAGCUAUAGUUUGUUCAGUAAUUGCAGGUUUGUCUGCAUUAGGAAUCUUGUUCUCCGCCAUCAUAUGGAAAAUGUGCAAGAAAGAGGAAGAACAGCUCUUUGAUAGCAUACCCGGGACACCAAAGCGUUUCUCCUUUCACGAGUUGAAGGUAGCUACCAGCAACUUCUCUGUGAAGCUUGGAAGUGGUGGAUUUGGGUCAGUCUUCAAAGGAAAGAUAGGCAGGGAAACAAUCGCAGUCAAACGUUUGGAAAGUGUUCAGCAAGGAACCGAGGAGUUCUUAGCAGAGGUCAUGACAAUUGGGAGAAUGCAUGACCAUAAUCUUGUCAGGUUGAUAGGAUUUUGUGCAGAGAAGUCGCACAGGCUUCUUGUCUACGAGUACCUGUGCAACGGUUCAUUGGAUAAGUGGAUCUUUCAUGCAUGUUCAGUUUUCACUUUGUCAUGGAAAACUAGACGUAACAUCAUAAUUUCCAUAGCCAGAGGUUUGUCCUACCUCCAUGAAGAAUGCAAGGAAAAGAUCGCCCACUUGGACAUAAAGCCACAGAAUAUUCUCCUUGAUGAUAGGUUCAUCGCAAAGCUUUCUGAUUUUGGACUGUCCAAAAUGAUAAACUGGGACCAGAGCAAAAUUAUGACUCGGAUGCGAGGCACCCGUGGAUAUCUAGCUCCCGAAUGGCUUGGCUCAAAAAUCACUGAGAAGGCUGAUAUCUACAGCUUUGGUAUUGUAGUGGUGGAAAUCCUUUGUGGCCGAGAGAAUUUGGACGAAUCGCUGCCCGAGGAAAGCAUUCACCUGAUAAGUCUGCUCGAAGAAAAGGCAAGAUCUGGUCACCUGCUCGACUUAGUGGACAGUGGCAGCAAUGAUAUGCAAUGUCAUAUGGAGGAGGUCAUGGAAGCGAUGAGGCUUGCAAUGUGGUGCUUACAGGUUGACAGCAGCAGAAGGCCCUUGAUGUCAACGGUCGCAAAGGUGUUGGAAGGCGUGACGAGCUUGGAGGCUGCACCUGACUACAGCUUUGUCCCUAGUUUUGCAUCAAAUGGUGCUAGUAGUGCAGGGCCAACUUCUUCCUAUGUGCCAUCGGAAUCACAUUUAUCAGGGCCUAGAUGAAAGCUUACUUCAGCUUUCCAUAUCUGACUAUGAGGAUAGCUUUUGCUGUUUUGCAUCCUUCCAUUCUGCCAGAAAUCUUUUGUAAACAAUUUGGUGCAUCACUAUUCAUGAUUCAUGUAUUUUUACUAUGUAUCUCAAACAAACAUCUUGAGAAAUUAAGGCAAAAGACAGAUGGCAAGAUAUUCUAUUCAUUGCACAUUCUCACAAUAAUAAAUGAUAUUU